CCUACGGGUGGCAGCAGUGAGGAAUAUUGGUCAAUGGACGAGAGUCUGAACCAGCCAAGUAGCGUGAAGGAUGACUGCCCUAUGGGUUGUAAACUUCUUUUAUAUGGGAAUAAAAUGUUCCACGUGUGGGAUUUUGUAUGUACCAUAUGAAUAAGGAUCGGCUAACUCCGUGCCAGCAGCCGCGGCAAUACGGAGGAUCCGAGCGUUAUCCGGAUUUAUUGGGUUUAAAGGGAGCGUAGGUGGAUUGUUAAGUCAGUUGUGAAAGUUUGCGGCUCAACCGUAAAAUUGCAGUUGAAACUGGCAGUCUUGAGUACAGUAGAGGUGGGCGGAAUUCGUGGUGUAGCGGUGAAAUGCUUAGAUAUCACGAAGAACUCCGAUUGCGAAGGCAGUUCACUGGACUGCAACUGACACUGAGGCUCGAAAGUGUGGGUAUCAAACAGGAUUAGAUACCCUAGUAGUC
Molecule: ribosomal RNA, 460 nt
Filed under: uncultured bacterium
Lineage: Bacteria
Description: partial 16S ribosomal RNA
Rfam family: Bacterial small subunit ribosomal RNA
Source: RNAcentral